This is a non-coding RNA of Lolium perenne, 3218 nucleotides long. NCBI's taxonomy places the organism in Eukaryota, Viridiplantae, Streptophyta, Magnoliopsida, Poales, Poaceae. The record is from RefSeq and is a predicted model, not a curated record.
UUCCCGUCGCUUUUCUUCGACUUCCACUCGCAUCGCCUUGCUUUUCGCGUGUGCGUGGGAGCAGCCGGUGAAAGUGAAACCUAGAUCGGUGAAACACUUUCCCCCAAUCAGCCGCCUCCUCCCAAUCCAAUCCUCUCCUCGUCUCCUCCCCAAUCGCUGCCUCUUUCAUCCUCUCCAAUCCCCGCUUCCAUCACCACACAGGGCUGUGAGGAGGAGAUGGGUGGAGGCGCGCAGGAGGAGCCUCUGCAAGACCGCAUCCUGAAGGAGGGCGGCGGGACUAGACGGGACGACAACGGGAGGAGGCGUUGCAGGAGCAGGGCGGCGGCGCGUCGCCACAACCGGCUGGUGCUCGAGCCCGCCGCCUCUUCGCGUUGCUCGCUGACUCCUCGCGUCACCCGCCCCCAAGUCAGAUGACGAUGCGAAUCAGUGGAGGAGGAGACCAUGGAGGAGAGGAAUGAUGCAUGGAGAUGUCGUGGUUAGCGAUGGAGCGCUAGCGGCGGGCGACGACCGGGCCAGGCAAGUCCAUCUCGUCCCUCUCCUCUCGGUCUCUCUCUCCUGCACUCUGGGCGAUGACCCCCAGUGCCUCUACUACACCUCUUUGCUUCUUCCCCGGAUAGCCCACUGGUGAAGAGAUCCCCUUUUUGGAUCACGAAGAGCAUGGAGCUUCUCAGAUUUCCGAGGGAAAUUCUACGGAGUCUGAUUACCAUCAGAUAGGGUUUGGGUGUGCAGAAGAUUUUCAUAGCGAUGACAAUUGCAGAAUUGGUGUUGUCCAUGGUUACUAUAGCCUGAAGGACCAUCCACGGCAAGUCGAAUCUCGAAUGGCAUGUAUUUAUAUGGAUUUGAGGUGAACCGACUGAUUCUGCCUUGCUGUCAUAUCAUUGAAGUGUCACGUGCCUAAGGUUUCAGACUUGCAAUGGUUAUGACGGAUUUAGUGAUAGCUGACCAUAUGGCCUGUGACAUUCAACGUGUGGUGGAAAAGAACUUACCUCCAUGGUUGAUGCGUAUUAGUGCCCUAGGCGUCCAACUACAUGAGCUGAUCCAAGUAACAUACUGCUUGGCGGCGUGCUGCGGAAUAGGCCGUGCCUCCUCUUCUCCCCCAAUCGCCGCCUCCUCUCCUUCUCCCCGAUCCGCGGCGUACAGAGUAGGUAGGUGGAGCAGCACGACCCUGGGCUCCAGACCGUGCAGAAGAGAUGAGGGGACAGAGGUGGGUCAAGCGGAGGACGACGGGCAUGAGCGAGCGACGGCGCGCGUGGAGGAGGUACGUGUGGUGGCCGGACAAGCGGGCGAGGAUGGCCAGGCCACAACAAGAUUCACCUUCAGGGCCAAAUAAAAGAAGUUUUCUAUUCAUGGUAGAAGCACAGUUUUAUUAGGGAAAUGAUUUCUAUUAUACAAUGAAUUCUUGAGGUACAGGUGGCUCUGAGUGCAUAUAAUCUGUGUUGAUGUAUUUAGCCAUGGCGUUUAUGUCACAUGUAUGGUACAGUCGUAUUCAGCCAAGCUUUGCAGGCUUUUUUCACUAAUAUCAAGAUAAAGAAGUUGUCUGGCAUGGUCGCUUUAAUACGAAAGAUCGUGUUAAUUUGGUCGAUGCACAAUUGCAGAAGAUAAAGAACUUUUCUGGCAUGUUAGCUUCAAUAAUAAGGAAUAUGACAGAAGCUAUAUUGCUGAAGAUGCCUACGGUUCAGCAGCUUAUGAUGAUUUACUUCAGCAGCUUAUGAUGUCUAUGGGAGGUUGGUGCAGUGUGUGACGGGAAGAAACGAGGUGAAGCUUCUCCCAAUCGUCUGGCGGUGAGGAGGACGCGAGUUGGAGGUGGAUUGAGCUCGAUGGCCAGGAGGGGCCGUUAACUGAUUGGGGAGUUUGGUGUAGCGUGUGAUGGCAGGAAACGAGGGUUGACAAGAUAUCUAAUAUCUGAAUCCAUAAAUCAGGGCUCUAUGUAAAUCCGGAAUGAUGUUUGGUACAGGCCGGGCAAUGGAGAAUCAUUGUUAAAGGUGAUAUUGCAGGCAUCAUCAUGACCACAUCAAAGGUCCUAAACUCUAGGUGAGAUCUUUCUUAUUUUUUCAUCUCUUGAGAAUGAAUCAUCUCCUGCAUAGUUAUUAAUAAGACUAUAUUUGUGUGACAUUGUACUGGCUCAUUGGUAAUUGAUAGUGCUUUGCCUUUUCAUACUCGCAGCUAUUUUUUGUUGCUCAUCAUGCCUUGUCUUAUGAAUUAGUAGUGAUCCUGUAAGGCAUGAAUCAACAGGAAAAAUUAUAGAAAGGAAAAUAAUAGCGAGAAGGAGGAACCACAUCCUCGAUGUCCUGUUCCAGGUCCACAGCUACUGCCUUCCCCAAGAAGGCCAUCUUUGAGGCUAGAUCAGCAAGGUCACCGUCUACAGAGGACUCAUUUUUUGCCUCACAAUUUCAUUUCUACAGGCUUAGUAUGGGAGGAACCUGCGGUUAUGAUGUAUAAUAAUUCUGAUUGUUCAGAGAAAGGUCGGUGCUUAUAGAAGGAUAGAAUACAGAUCUCCUGGUGGACUAUGCUUUCUUAUUUGUUGAAGUGAGAUAUGAUUGUUGGCUGGAGAUUCAGAGCUCAUAGAAGUUGGUGAAGAACCGUUUGGGAUCCUCAUUUUAACUGAAAGUUUCACUAAAUCCAUUAAAGGCUGUCAGAUAUUGAAGCCCUAGAACUAUAGGAGUGCAGCUUGCACGAAUAAAUAAGAAUUUUCGACCUUGUUAACAAUCUUAUAAAGAGAGAAAUUAGGAUUGUGUCCCGGUUAAACAUGGCUCCUGAGGUGCAAGGCGUACUAACUGCUGCAGUUUUGGCGGUCCAUCUUCUCGAAGCAAAGCCAUAGGCCAUGGACCUGCCGCUCUGCUCUAAUUUGGUAGCAACCUGACAGUUAGCGAGAGAGCAGUUCGGGACGGGGCUACCUUACCGGAGAUCUGGACGGUUUGGAGUUAGAAUGGCCAAAUCCUAAUUUUCUGUUUAACCCCUUUUCCUUAUUUAUAUGUAUUUUAUAGCUUCCCAGUUAUAUUACCUAUCUCACCAUUAGAGUAUAACUAUACAUAUUCUAUCGGCUGUGUUGUAUGGUAGUGUAUUGCUAUUGGUGAUUUUCUGAUCAACCUGGUUUGCAACCAAAGUAUGAGUUGUGUUCUUACUGUUGAUUCAUUUGCUAUUUAUUUCUUGCUGAUUAUCACCAUGUAUUCACUUACUGAUAAGACAUGGCUUUAAUUUAGGCUCGGGUUCGAUCUUUA